This 496-nucleotide ribosomal RNA is filed under the name uncultured bacterium. Its description in RNAcentral is "partial 16S ribosomal RNA". It matches the Rfam family "Bacterial small subunit ribosomal RNA", at positions 29 to 507 of the family's 1533-position model. The record is from RNAcentral.
AUGAACGCUGGCGGCGUGCCUCAUACAUGCCAGUCGAGCGCACAGACGAGGAGCUUGCUCCUCUGACGUUAGCGGCGGACGGGUGAGUAACACGUGGAUAACCUACCUAUAAGACUGGGAUAACUUCGGGAAACCGGAGCUAAUACCGGAUAAUAUAUUGAACCGCAUGGUUCAAUAGUGAAAGACGGUUUUGCUGUCACUUAUAGAUGGAUCCGCGCCGCAUUAGCUAGUUGGUAAGGUAACGGCUUACCAAGGCGACGAUGCGUAGCCGACCUGAGAGGGUGAUCGGCCACACUGGAACUGAGACACGGUCCAGACUCCUACGGGAGGCAGCAGUAGGGAAUCUUCCGCAAUGGGCGAAAGCCUGACGGAGCAACGCCGCGUGAGUGAUGAAGGUCUUCGGAUCGUAAAACUCUGUUAUUAGGGAAGAACAAAUGUGUAAGUAACUAUGCACGUCUUGACGGUACCUAAUCAGAAAGCCACGGCUAACUACGUG